This 253-nucleotide ribosomal RNA is filed under the name uncultured bacterium. RNAcentral describes it as "partial 16S ribosomal RNA". It matches the Rfam family "Bacterial small subunit ribosomal RNA", at positions 524 to 776 of the family's 1533-position model. The record is from RNAcentral.
UACGGGGGGGGCAAGCGUUGUUCGGAAUUACUGGGCGUAAAGGGCUCGUAGGUGGCCAACUAAGUCAGACGUGAAAUCCCUCGGCUUAACCGGGGAACUGCGUCUGAUACUGGAUGGCUUGAGUUCGGGAGAGGGAUGCGGAAUUCCAGGUGUAGCGGUGAAAUGCGUAGAGAUCGGGCGGAACACCAGCGGCGAAGGCGGCAUCCUGGCCCUGACCUGACGCUGAGGCGCGAGAGCGUGGGGAGCAAACUGG